RNAcentral lists this ribosomal RNA (497 nucleotides) under uncultured bacterium. RNAcentral describes it as "partial 16S ribosomal RNA". It matches the Rfam family "Bacterial small subunit ribosomal RNA", at positions 28 to 507 of the family's 1533-position model. The record is from RNAcentral.
GAUGAACGCUGGCGGCGUGCCUAAUACAUGCAAGUCGAGCGAACAGACGGGGAGCUUGCUCCUCUGACGUUAGCGGCGGACGGGUGAGUAACACGUGGAUAACCUACCUAUAAGACUGGGAUAACUUCGGGAAACCGGAGCUAAUACCGGAUAAUAUAUUGAACCGCAUGGUUCAAUAGUGAAAGACGGUUUUGCUUUCACUUAUAGAUGGAUCCGCGCCGCAUUAGCUAGUUGGUAAGGUAACGGCUUACCAAGGCAACGAUGCGUAGCCGACCUGAGAGGGUGAUCGGCCACACUGGAACUGAGACACGGUCCAGACUCCUACGGGAGGCAGCAGUAGGGAAUCUUCCGCAAUGGGCGAAAGCCUGACGGAGCAACGCCGCGUGAGUGAUGAAGGUCUUCGGAUCGUAAAACUCUGUUAUUAGGGAAGAACAAAUGUGUAAGUAACUAUGCACGUCUUGACGGUACCUAAUCAGAAAGCCACGGCUAACUACGUG